CUCUUCAGAAUGAGACAAAACAUAUAGUCUUACCGAUAAUUCGAGAAUUUGAUACUUCACUUCUAAUGUCUCAUCAGCAAAAGUUUUAACAGCAAUGCGUAGCACAUCAGGGACUAGUCGCGGUAUGAUUAGUAUAUGCUCCGAAAUAAGCCAUAGUGUAACGGAUUUGGCCCGCGGUACUUCCAAAGUUUCAUACGUUGCAGCUAAAUACUGCAGAUAUAUUUCUUUAGGAUCAUUAUGAAUGAGAAGCCGAAGUGAAGAGGCAGCUUCUGUCACGAUAAGGCUAUUAUGUGAUUUAAGUAACAGCAAUAAAGUGUUAAGACAAGAGGGGGCCAUAGAAAUGUUAGCACUAGCAAAAUCACCCAAUGCCUUUACCGCCGUUGAUGCAACAGAAGGAUUCGGAUGACUGUUAAUGUAAUACAAUAAUUCGGGAAGGAUUUGCGAUGAAUUUUGAGCAUCCAAUAAACGCGACAAUAUGUUGAUUUUUAAAAGGCACGUAUCGUCACUGUCAGAAGCAAUUAGAAAGAAACUCUUUAUAUGGUUUUUAAAUAAUUCCUAAUAUCAUGUUA
Schizosaccharomyces pombe (fission yeast) is the source of this 569-nucleotide non-coding RNA. The record is from the annotation of a GenBank genome assembly. Lineage: Eukaryota; Fungi; Ascomycota; Schizosaccharomycetes; Schizosaccharomycetales; Schizosaccharomycetaceae.